AGCAGCCGCGGUAAUUCCAGCUCCAAUAGCGUAUAUUAAAGUUGUUGCAGUUAAAAAGCUCGUAGUUGAAUUUCGGGGUCAGCAGGUCGGUCGUGCCACUGGUAUGAACUGGUCUCGCUGAUCCCUCCCUCUUGACGAACUGUGAUGCCAUUAAUUUGGUGUCGCAGGGAAUCAGGACUGUUACUUUGAAAAAAUUAGAGUGUUUAAAGCAGGCUUAAGCUUGAAUACAUUAGCAUGGAAUAAUGAAAUAGGACGUUUGAUCCUAUUUUGUUGGUUUCUAGGAUUGACGUAAUGAUUAAUAGGGAUAGUUGGGGGCAUUAGUAUUCAAUUGUCAGAGGUGAAAUUCUUGGAUUUAUUGAAGACUAACUACUGCGAAAGCAUUUGCCAAGGAUGUUUUCAUUAAUCAAGAACGAAAGUUAGGGGAUCGAAGACGAUCAGAUACCGUCGUAGUCUUAACCAUAAACUAUGCCGACUAGGGAUCGGAUGAUGUUAAUUUUUUAAUGACUCAUUCGGCGCCUUACG
This 522-nucleotide ribosomal RNA is filed under the name uncultured Glomus. Its description in RNAcentral is "SSU rRNA". It matches the Rfam family "Eukaryotic small subunit ribosomal RNA", at positions 569 to 1092 of the family's 1831-position model. Lineage: Eukaryota; Fungi; Glomeromycota; Glomeromycetes; Glomerales; Glomeraceae. The record is from RNAcentral.